GUUUACUAAACUUUCGAAAUGCUUCCUGCCACAAAAAUAAAAUAUUAAGAAACUAAGUCACUCAAAGGGACACUGCAUGCUAAUUGCAUGUAGGGCUUAAUUCCAGCAUCUUGAACAACAAAUACGAUUGCUGCAACCCGUUUUUUGGCCUUGUUUUCGUAUUUUGAAAUCCUCGCUCGGGUACCCGAAAAGCGACCAUUUUAAUGAAUUCCAGUGGCUGCACAGUUUUGAGCAGCAGUAUCCAUCGUUUCCAUGGUUUCUAUUGUGAUGUCACUGGUGGGGAUAAAUUAAAUUGUAUUGAGAAUUCGGCGGUCGAGCAGGCGCUCUGAACAUACCUUUCCCGAAAACACCGACAAAAUAGGCUUUUGCGUCCAUUAAAAUUGAAUGCUCUAUGGUUAGGGUGUCUACAAUCAAGCGGUUAAUAAACUGCACUUGUUAAAUUCACAAAAGAUAGAGAAAAUGGUGAGAAUCAUAGACAAAUGGCUCAUUGUUCCCGCCGACCAAGUGGCCGUGUGCUGUGGGAGCUACAUCGGUGUUGCUAUGAUACCGCCGCCAUCUUGGAAACGAGUUCUAAACUAGACAAAUGCUCGAUCAGAACUGGUCAAUUUAAAAGUCACUCUCCCGAUCAAAAAAGCACAUCAUUGAACAUUUCUCGAUCAAUUUUGUUCUUGGCCUACAUUAUUUAGCGUCUAGCCAUGAUAAAAAUGAAUUUAGAUAACUGUUUAAAACAAAUUUUUGAGGUAAAUUGUGUUACAUGACACCCUAAUUUCUUCGUAACAAGUACUUAGCUUACUUAUUGCUGGACAAAGAUGGUUUAGAUCUUCAAUAGAAGAAAUUUACUUAUCAAGACAGGUGCACUUCCGUAUAAUGGCAAUUGAAAAACUGUGCCCAUCUUCUAGCAGCACCAUACAGGGAAUUUCAUCUGGUGGUCAGCUCAUGGCAGCAAGAGAUGUUUCUUCCACUUGUAGGGGGGUUUGUCCAAAAGUAGGAGUGUUUGUCCACAAGUAGAGUUUUUUUUUUUUAUCAUAGCAUAAGUUCAACUUCCUGUGACAUGAGUUUCACAGGGGUUUCACACAUAGCUUUUGCGUUCAUCCCUUGACAUCCCAAACCCUCAUGUUCCAGCAUUUAAUUAAUUCCUUAAAGCUUAAGAAUACAAAUUUCAUAGUUAUUACUGUGUAAUUUCAGUUGUGCUUCACUAAGAUCAGUUACUUACAGCUCAAGCUGACAAUUAGCAUUAUAUACCAAUUCUGAUCAAUCAAUACAAAACUUUUUCUAGAGGAAACAACAAUAUUCUGUUUUUUUAACAAGCAAAACCAGUUAUGCUUUAUCAGUAGAAAUAGAUUGAAAAUAUAUAUAUUUUUAUAUUUUUACAAACUUUGAUAUUUAUUCAAAACUUCUGGAUAAACUUCCAUCUAGAGUAAACCUGGAAAAUUCUUCUGCUCUAACAAAGCAUCUUUGUCCAGAUUAUGGUGUGAUGCAAUAAACUAAAAUCAUAUGGAGGUAACAAACUUUUUUAUUGUUGGCAGUGCAACGUCACACCCAUUACAUAUCUAACCUCUGCAGUAUGAAUAUAGUUGAAAAAAAUCCAAGCAUUGUUGUGUUGUUGAUUUUAGAGUCAAACAGUUUUCCAUCUUUAUUGAGUCAACAACAAUAAUUACUACUACAUUCAGAGACAAUACAAUACAGAAACACACAAAACAGAGAAGUGAUCUCAAAAGGGAACACUUUUGGGCUGCCAGAAAGCCAUAUGUAACAAAAAAAUACCUACUGCCCCCUUUACCACUGAACCAAACCCCCCCUUGAGCGAAAAGCUAGAUCCGCCCCUGGGAACUUAACUUAAAUGAAUUACAAAAUCAUUCUGUGACAUGCAUAGGUAGGUCCACAAAAAAGAUGUCAAAUGUAGAUGUUCAAUGUCAAAUAUAGGGGUGAGGUAGUUUUGAAAUAAAAAGCUUAGGGAUUAGGAAAAGUGAUUGGAUCAGCUAGGUUACAUAUGUGAUUCUAUAGGGUAAUUCUAUUACGUAAGGGUUGAAUACAAAGGAUGGAAGCAGUUCGCCAUAUAACACCUUAAGGACUGGCUUAUUACAUAAUCUUUACUAAGUAGAAUACUAUUUAAAGAAAAUAAGACUAAAAAAAGAGGUGAAAUCCAAUAGCAUUUGCCUUUUUUUGGCAAAAACCAAAUGAGGUUCAGGUUAUUAUUGACCUGCAAGAAAACCCAGGAGAGUUGAUGGUUGAUUGAACCAUAUCUGAACCAUAUUGAACCAUACUUCAAAAGCUCAGAAGAUCAAUAACCAAAAUUAUUUAGCAACCCUUGCAUGCAUCUGGGUCUUGGACAAUAUAGCCAUGGAGAACUCAUUUGGGCAGUGUUUUGCCUGGCUAGUUGAAGUAACGAAAAAAGCUUUCUUCGUUAUGAGAUUACUUAAGUACAUUUUCAAUACGUACGGGUAAAAUCAUCAACAAGAGAGUAUUCGAAAGGUGCAUUUCGCGCUAGAGCAAAUAAGUAAAUGUACUUACAGUAUACGUCAGAAUGGUUUUUAAUUAGAACAAUUUUUUAUACUAGUUUUAACAGAAUUUACAUUCAAUAUUUUGUGAAACAAUCGCUUACUAUUCUUCAUAUGAUCGAAUACGAGCUUUGUGUGAGCUAUCAAUACCUUUUUAUCGAGACACUUUGCUUGCAGCAUACAAUAACAGCACGGAAAUACAGAUAAUACGCAGACAAAAA
Nematostella vectensis (starlet sea anemone) is the source of this 2719-nucleotide long non-coding RNA. RefSeq lists it as uncharacterized. The transcript has 2 exons. NCBI's taxonomy places the organism in Eukaryota, Metazoa, Cnidaria, Anthozoa, Actiniaria, Edwardsiidae. The record is from RefSeq and is a predicted model, not a curated record.